CUUUAUUCUUUAUUUAUUUGGCAUUCAUCAGCUUUAUUCUUUAUUUAUUUGGUAUCCCGCAACUUUAUUCUUUAUUUACUUGGCAUCCGACUGCUUUAAUCUUGAUUUACUUGGCAUCCGACUGAUUUAUUCUUUAUUUACUUGCCAUGUGAUGCUUUAUUCUUUAUUUAUUUGGCAUCUGACUGCUUUAUUCCUUGUUUACUUGGUGCUUUAUUUUUUAUUUACUUGGCAUGCAACAUCUCUAGUCUUCAUUGACAUAUUGCAUAAGCUGACACAUGAACGUUAUUUGUCUUUUCUACCAUAAAACUAUCAUACCUUGGAAAUAGUAAUCAAGGUACUAAUUACUAAAGUACCAAGUAGAAAGGUAGUCCACUUUUCUUCUGCAAUCAAAUUCUUAUUACGAAUGCUGAACCACAUCCACGAGUCAUUUCAAAUUUGCCUCAACUUCACAACUUCAAGUUGUAUGAUAGAAUUUUAUCUUGAGCUUCUCAUAAAUAUAGUCCAUCGUUUAAUAUGAUCAUAUAGUUUGACUUGGGGACUCAAGUUUUGUAUCGUGAAUUUCACUUAACGUCCUUCACAUUCUCUUGUCCUUUUCUUAUUCAUUGAUACUAAAUCUUUUAAUCAAGUAAGAAGCUGAAACUGUCAUUUCCUUUUGAUUUAUUAUCUUUCAAGAUUUGUGGUACCAUUUCAUGCAUCACUGAUUAAGAGUCAAUUUUAUAAGCCUUAAAAUGAUAUUGAAGUUUAGAGGAUGAACGCUAGAUUGCAUCUACCUUUCCCUUUUUCUAAAAAGAAUGAGAUGAGAGAUAUUUGAACUAUGUAUCCCUAAUAUAAGGGCUUAUGUAACUCAAAGGUUAGAGCAAUGCAUUUUGAUUCCUCUUCUUUUGUGUAUGGUCUAAACAUCGUCUGUCGUGAGCUCACUUGAAUUAUCCUUGGUAGGUCUAAUUUUCUUAGGAACUUUCAACACACUUGGGUCAGACUCCAAGUUAAUGAUGGAUGAUUGGCUAGAUAAGUGGUUUGGCGACACAUAUGUUUUUCGCGAAGGAGUUCUUAUAGGAGUUUGGCCAGUGAGGGUGUUCUUAAAUGUAGGAAUAUGUGGUGGUAAAGUCUAAUUCUCUUGCAAGGAAGUGGCGGAUCAAUUUCAUCAUCAGCAUCAUUGUCAAGCGAAUGAUGUUGUUCUUGGGAUGAUUUGGCAGACGACUCUAAAAUCAAAGUUCUCUUAAUAGGCACCUUUAGCCAAUUUUUAUGUUUUGGCUCAUGGAGAGCUAGGUCCUCUCUGUCUACACCACCCACUUUCCACGUAGUUUGUGUUUUCCUUUUGAGCGGGGCAAUGAUGGAGAUUCUUGGGUUUAUGAACCCUCUCCUUCUUUUGGCGCUUGUGUUUUUAAUCUUUGCGCUUCCUUCUUGUUUUGAUGAACAGUUAGAAUACGAUUCAUACCUGCGAGGUUGUAAUUUCCUGCUGCCAUGUUAGUUUGUGGGAAUCUAGCUAGGGUUGAUAGAUACUUUAGACACAACUUCUCCAAGGUAGAUAGGAAUGAUGUUGCUCCCUUUGAGUUUCUUCGCCAAUCAAGAAUUGCUCUAUUGAUAAUUUCUUCCAGAUUAAACGUCUGCUUUGUCAUGAUAUAAUAGAGAACUAACGCAUAAUCCAAGGGCAUUGUGCUAUCAUAGCAUGUAGGAAGGAUCUUUUUAACGAAAAACACUCAGACUUUUGCCUUGGUUGUCAACUGGUGUAGGAACUGUUGAAGUCUUUCAAUCGGUGUUUUUGUCCACUUAGCCCUUAGCCUUGCGAUUAAUUGGUUAACCUUUUUUGCAUCGCUCCGCAUUGAGCUGUCAAUAAUGCGCUGGUUGGAGUAUGCUUCAGGGUCAUUAAGUAGGUCGUACAACUCAUUAAUCUCUUCCAAAGUGAACGAGGCUUUCUCUCCUUUCACUACGACAUAUGAUUCCUGAGGGUGGAAAUUUGCUGCAUAAAAUAUCUCAACUAGAUCCAACCUUAUCUUUGUUUCACCUAUAAAAAACUUCUCUCAUUUGAGCGCCUUGAUUGGACCGCAGAGAAAGUCGGGUAGUAGCCCAUUAAAAGAUAGCAAUUUUCAAUCUUUAUGAUUUUUUCUAGAUCUUGGGUGUCCAUCAUUUUCCCUUUUUCUAUCAUCCUUAGGUAUGGAUGUCCCUGCCUUGGCUUUUUUCUUUCUAAUUAGAAGCUCGAGUUAUUCAGUUUGCAUUAAUGAUUCCAUACAACUCAUUCUUUCAAUUUCCUGUGUCAGUUCUUCAGCCACAAUAUCCAUGUGGUCAAUUUCCUGUUUUUCUAUCGCUUCAUUUGCAGCGGCCACCCUGUUUACCUACUCGCUUAAGUCUGCGAGGGUAUCAAGUUUUGUCUUCUUAGUGGCUUGCACCUCCGCUAACUUACUCUUCGCUCCUUCUAGGGAGGUGAUACUUUGCUUUUUCUUUGCAGAUAAUUGGCGAAGACGUUCAUCCUGCUCGUGUGCCUUGUCUUUUUCUCUUUUUGUCGCCAUCAUGUGUGUCUUGUGUGCGUACUCUUGUUGUCUUCGCUUCUCAUCCUCCCUGAUUCUUAAUUCUUCUAUCUUUGUCUGAUCCUCUCGCAAGGCCCUCUCCUCAUCUUUCUUAUUUCUUGUUCGCGCAUCCUCUCUUUUCUUUUCUUCUUCCACAAUCCUUUCUUACUAAGCGGCUUGCAGGCUCUUCAAAAAUUUAUUCACUUGACCCUACAGGUGAGACGAGAUUUCCAAGCUUUGGUGGCCUGAAAUUCUUUGGGAUUUAAACCGAACCACAUAUGCAGUCUGCUUUUGAUUCAGUUUGUCAUAAACGUGCGGUUCUGGUCGAUUUUGUAUGAGAUUUUUUUUUUGCAUUUUGUGGUUUUGUUUGAAACCAAACUGUGAACACCUCUAGUAAAAACCAUAGUAUGAUCUGAAAAAUAAUGACAUUGAAGAAGUGUUUGUAUCAACAAAAUUGUUAAUAAAAGUCAAUCCAUGACACAACAAAAGUGUCGUCAAUAACGAAAAUGUUAUAAAAAUAAACUAAUUUGGACUUCAACAAUGACAA
Molecule: long non-coding RNA, 3048 nt
Organism: Cucumis sativus (cucumber)
Lineage: Eukaryota; Viridiplantae; Streptophyta; Magnoliopsida; Cucurbitales; Cucurbitaceae
Exons: 2
Source: RefSeq, a predicted model, not a curated record